UACGCAGCCUACGGAGGCUACUCUGCUGCUGCUCUGUGCCCCGCCUUCCGAAUUUGUCAUACGUCACUAAGAAAAGUGCGUACACUACGCUAAUACUCUCUCCUGAAUACAGAGGAGUCUAAGAUGGCAGCGCUACCAGAAGGUAGUUAUUUAUUUACGUUAAUAAAGUUUUAAAUAUGGAUAUUUCUACAACAACACCGCGCGGAUUACCCUCAGAAGACCUUUGUUUAUCAUCCUGGAGCCGUUUGGAUUUAUUUUGUGAAGGAUGGACGCACUUUUUUGGACUUGAAGGUCGUGGACCCCAUAACAUUACAUUUAAUCAACUGAAAGAUCUAAAACAUUUUCUAAAAUAUCCAAAAAUGUGUUUGUCUGAAAAACGAUGGACAUAUGCAACUCCGACAGCUUGGGGCCAGCGGUCCACCAUUGGAUGAUUGGCGCUGAGCGAAGAACGGGCCGUUUCACGUUGAAACUCCCUCUGACUGUUCCAUUGCCCUGCAUCACGAGGAAGACUACGGCUGUUGGUGCCAGUGGUAAAGCGGGGUUUCAUGAAGCCGGCGGUGGUUGACCAGCGUGUGUGGUUCUUCUUGAACGGUUCUUCAGGUUGUGAGUUCGCUUCGGAGAACGACACUGAUGUCAGGUUUAACAAUGCUGG
Paramisgurnus dabryanus is the source of this 652-nucleotide long non-coding RNA. RefSeq lists it as uncharacterized. The record is from RefSeq and is a predicted model, not a curated record. NCBI's taxonomy places the organism in Eukaryota, Metazoa, Chordata, Actinopteri, Cypriniformes, Cobitidae.